UUUUUUUUUUUAAAUCAAAAGGACUGUUUUAUUGUCAAUUGUCACAACAGAUGAGCACAGACACAGAGCCUUGGAGUUUAGGACACAGUAUUAUUAUAAGGCCAGAAAUAAAAUAUAUAUAUUGAACUUGUAGGUUUACUGAAUCAUGAUGGCAGAGAUCUCAACUUGCUAGGAAUUUUCAGCGUCGGUGAAGUCAAAAACGCUACUACACACUGAGAGCAGGGAGAAAACAAGAGACAGCAAGAUCCAAGUAACAGCCGACUGCUGAUAGAUAUCUCAUGGAAUGGACUCCAGAACCUGCUUUAUAGGUUUGUCUUCUUCUGAGAUAGAUUAAUCUUGUCUCCCAGACUCAGAGCCAUUCCCUGGCUCUUGGCUCUAAUUCGUAUGUGGCCGGUCACAGGGGCCUCUGGACCCAGGUGAAUUGGCUUUUCAAUGCUGACAUUGGCAAGUGCGUCCUCUCCAAAUAUGCAACGAGCAUAGAGGUUAGCAGCCAUGAACCCACAGUACCCAGACAAAGCCUUUUCUGGGGUGAGACAUUUCAUAUUUGUAAAUUUGAGAAUGUGCUGCAAAUAUUAAUUCAGGUCGAUCAUGUUUUUGUU
Molecule: non-coding RNA, 599 nt
Organism: Pelobates cultripes (western spadefoot toad)
Lineage: Eukaryota; Metazoa; Chordata; Amphibia; Anura; Pelobatidae
Source: the annotation of a GenBank genome assembly